CCCGAAGUUAAAGAUAGCACAGCUCCGAAUCACAUCACAGGCUGGAAAGAACGUCCACUACACAGGCUCAUCCCGGCUGUGUUCCCAGUGCGUGAGGGAAGGCCUGACGCAGAGGAGCUCUUUAAGUAUUCGCUGAAUGAAUAAAUGAACUCACACGGUUCCUUCUGAGAAGAGCAGGGAGGCCUGUGCGGCCGGAUCAGAGAUUAGAAGUGUUUUAGGAAAGCACAUGGCCCAUCAGAAGACUGCACUUCCCAGUUACCCUUGCAGCCGGAGAGGAGCCAAGCCCAAUGAAAUCUGCAAAUACCGGAAAUUUCCGGUUCACGCCAUUCAUGAGGAGAAGCGUGUUUUUCUCUUCAGUUUCCCUUUCUUGUUCAGUAGGCAUGUUUUUAUCUUUACCAAUCGCCUAGCAGAGAACAGUGCUAGAGAAGCACUCAAUAAAUAAUUAUUAUAAGUGAAAC
Long non-coding RNA from Eptesicus fuscus (big brown bat), 458 nucleotides. RefSeq lists it as uncharacterized. Lineage: Eukaryota; Metazoa; Chordata; Mammalia; Chiroptera; Vespertilionidae. The transcript is spliced from 3 exons. The record is from RefSeq and is a predicted model, not a curated record.